RNAcentral lists this ribosomal RNA (513 nucleotides) under uncultured Cryptophyta. RNAcentral's name for it is "SSU rRNA". It matches the Rfam family "Eukaryotic small subunit ribosomal RNA", at positions 451 to 979 of the family's 1831-position model. Lineage: Eukaryota; Cryptophyceae. The record is from RNAcentral.
CCGACUCGGGGAGGUAGUGACAAUAAAUAACAAUACAGGGCUUACAGUCUUGUUAUUGGAAUGAGAACAAUUUAAAUCCCUUUACGAGGAUCAAUUAGAGGGCAAGUCUGGUGCCAGCAGCCGCGGUAAUUCCAGCUCUAAUAGCGUAUAUUAAAGUUGUUGCAGUUAAAAAGCUCGUAGUCGGAUGUCGGGCUCGGGGGGGCUGUCGGCCUAGGUCAGGCGGCCGUUCCGGGUCUUUCUGCCUGGGGAUCCUAUUCUUCUUAACUGAAGGGUAGUGGGACGCAGGUCGUUUACUUUGAAAAAUUAGAGUGUUCAAAGCAGGCCUACGCUUGAAUACAUUAGCAUGGAAUAAUGGAAUAGGACUUUGGUCUUAUUUGUUGGUUUAUGGGACCGAAGUAAUGAUUAACAGGGACAGUUGGGGCCGUUUAUAUUUCGUUGUCAGAGGUGAAAUUCUUGGAUUUACGAAAGAUAAACUUCUGCGAAAGCAUUCGGCAAGGAUGUUUUCAUUGAUCA